AUGGUUGAAUUAUAAUGUAUAUAU
This 24-nucleotide small RNA is filed under the name Arabidopsis thaliana (thale cress). RNAcentral describes it as "ATSL192470". Lineage: Eukaryota; Viridiplantae; Streptophyta; Magnoliopsida; Brassicales; Brassicaceae. The record is from RNAcentral.